RNAcentral lists this transfer RNA (76 nucleotides) under Acidobacteriota bacterium. RNAcentral's name for it is "Acidobacteria bacterium (activated sludge metagenome) tRNA-Glu". It matches the Rfam family "tRNA". From Rfam's summary of the family: Transfer RNA (tRNA) molecules are approximately 80 nucleotides in length. Their secondary structure includes four short double-helical elements and three loops (D, anti-codon, and T loops). Lineage: Bacteria; Pseudomonadati; Acidobacteriota. The record is from RNAcentral.
GGGGAUGAAUGCAAAGCGUCGAGCGAUCAGUUUUUCAAGCUGAAUGUAGCGGGUUCGAGUCCCGCCUUCCCUGCCA